GGGGCCAUAAGAGCCAUGUAGCUGGCCCAGCCUCCCAGCACCCACUCCUACCCUCCUCCCGCCCGGCCGGGACCCCCCGCGAAGGUCACAGAGGACAUUAUGGGCCUGGGCUGAGCAGCUCACUAAGGACUUGGGUGAAUUUUUUUUAGUGUCCCAACGGUUCUUCUCUGGGUCCGGGGCUGAAUUCUGCUUUGACUCUGCGCUGAUCCUUUGUUGGGUUCUGUUUGGCAUCUGGUACUGCGUGGGAUCUGGUUUGGUGUCUAGGCCCAGCUCUGUUUGGGAUCCAUUUGGGGUGGGGAUCUCUUUGGGAUCUAGUUUGGUGUCUGGGCUUGAUUCCGUUCAGAUUUGGUUUGGUUUCUGAGUCUGGUUUUGCUUGAGAUCUGAUUAGGGAUCUGAGCCAGGUUCUGUUUGGGAGCCAGUUUAGGUUGAGUUCUGGUUGGGAUUUGUCUGGAUAUAGAUUUGUUUGGAAUCCUGUUUGGAAACUGGGCCGGGUCCUGUCUGGGAUCCAAUCUGGAGCCUGGGCCAGAUUCUGUUUGGGAUCCAGCCUGGGCCAGGUUCUGUAUGAGAUCCAGUCUGAGCCUGGGCCGGGUCCUGUCUGGGAUCCAGUUUGGAGCCUGGGCCGGGUUCUCUACACAGCUACUUAGCUGCUCCCAGUCACACAAAGCAG
This is a long non-coding RNA of Gopherus flavomarginatus (Mexican gopher tortoise), 667 nucleotides long. RefSeq lists it as uncharacterized. NCBI's taxonomy places the organism in Eukaryota, Metazoa, Chordata, Testudines, Testudinidae. The record is from RefSeq and is a predicted model, not a curated record. The transcript is spliced from 3 exons.